UACGAAGGCGGCGUGCGUUGCCCGGAUUUACUGGGCGUAAAGGGACCGUAGGCGGACUUUUAAGUGAGAUGUGAAAUACUCGGGCUUAAUCUGAGUGCUGCAUUUCAAACUGGAAGUUUAGAGUGCAGGAGAGGAGAAGGGAAUUCCUCGUGUAGGGCUGAAAUGCGUAGAGAUUAGGAAGAACACCAGUGGCGAAGGUGCUUCUCUGGACUUUAUCUGACUCUGAGGCUCUAGAGCUUUGGGAGCAAACAGG
RNAcentral lists this ribosomal RNA (253 nucleotides) under uncultured bacterium. Its description in RNAcentral is "partial 16S ribosomal RNA". It matches the Rfam family "Bacterial small subunit ribosomal RNA", at positions 524 to 776 of the family's 1533-position model. The record is from RNAcentral.